RNAcentral lists this ribosomal RNA (514 nucleotides) under Gordonia sp. PDA4p. Its description in RNAcentral is "bacterial SSU rRNA". It matches the Rfam family "Bacterial small subunit ribosomal RNA", at positions 338 to 862 of the family's 1533-position model. The record is from RNAcentral. Lineage: Bacteria; Bacillati; Actinomycetota; Actinomycetes; Mycobacteriales; Gordoniaceae.
CCUACGGGAGGCAGCAGUGGGGAAUAUUGCACAAUGGGCGCAAGCCUGAUGCAGCGACGCCGCGUGAGGGAUGACGGCCUUCGGGUUGUAAACCUCUUUCACCAGGGACGAAGCGCAAGUGACGGUACCUGGAGAAGAAGCACCGGCCAACUACGUGCCAGCAGCCGCGGUAAUACGUAGGGUGCAAGCGUUGUCCGGAAUUACUGGGCGUAAAGAGCUCGUAGGCGGUUUGUCGCGUCGUCUGUGAAAUUCUGCAGCUUAACUGCAGGCGUGCAGGCGAUACGGGCAGACUUGAGUACUACAGGGGAGACUGGAAUUCCUGGUGUAGCGGUGAAAUGCGCAGAUAUCAGGAGGAACACCGGUGGCGAAGGCGGGUCUCUGGGUAGUAACUGACGCUGAGGAGCGAAAGCGUGGGUAGCGAACAGGAUUAGAUACCCUGGUAGUCCACGCCGUAAACGGUGGGUACUAGGUGUGGGUUCCUUUUCACGGGAUCCGUGCCGUAGCUAACGCAUUA